ACUCCUACGGGAGGCAGCAGUGGGGAAUAUUGCACAAUGGGCGCAAGCCUGAUGCAGCCAUGCCGCGUGUAUGAAGAAGGCCUUCGGGUUGUAAAGUACUUUCAGCAGUGAGGAAGGUGGGUAUGUUAAUAGCAUACUCAUUUGACGUUAGCUGCAGAAGAAGCACCGGCUAACUCCGUGCCAGCAGCCGCGGUAAUACGGAGGGUGCGAGCGUUAAUCGGAAUUACUGGGCGUAAAGCGCAUGCAGGUGGUUUGUUAAGUCAGAUGUGAAAGCCCGGGGCUCAACCUCGGAAUUGCAUUUGAAACUGGCAAACUAGAGUACUGUAGAGGGGGGUAGAAUUUCAGGUGUAGCGGUGAAAUGCGUAGAGAUCUGAAGGAAUACCGGUGGCGAAGGCGGCCCCCUGGACAGAUACUGACACUCAGAUGCGAAAGCGUGGGGAGCAAACAGGAUUAGAUAACCUGGUAGGCUCUGC
RNAcentral lists this ribosomal RNA (473 nucleotides) under uncultured bacterium. RNAcentral describes it as "bacterial SSU rRNA". It matches the Rfam family "Bacterial small subunit ribosomal RNA", at positions 335 to 800 of the family's 1533-position model. The record is from RNAcentral.